Molecule: long non-coding RNA, 3075 nt
Filed under: Marmota monax (woodchuck)
Lineage: Eukaryota; Metazoa; Chordata; Mammalia; Rodentia; Sciuridae
Source: RNAcentral
UUACUCGCUGGGCCUUGAUUCAUCUUGUGAAAAGUCCAAGCGGCCCCCCACCCCCACCGCCUUCUGCAUAUCUGAAUUCUAACCUCUCUGCAAGUGGAAGCUCCAAUCCCACCUGCUCCUAGUCACCUCCCCACCCCCAGAGCCUGCAGGGAUAUUUUCUUCCUACCAUCCUUGUAGGUUCCUAGCAGAGCCACACAGGGCACUUACAGUCAGCACCAGGCAAGAUGCGUGUGGUUUAGAUGAUAAGUCACAACAGCCAGCCUGAGGUGGGGACUCACCCGAGCACCUCACUCAACCAGCUCAUUCAGCCUCAAGACCCUCCACUGAGCAGACCAUGAUUUGUAAAUAGCAAGGAAAAUGUUAUCAUUCCCCAAGCAGAUGUUAAAGGGCUUUGUCUUUUGGGGUUGGGGCGCAGUAGUGUGGACCUGGGAUGUGGUGGGCACAGAGUAAGGAAUGACAAGUUGGCCAGUGAAAGAAAACUGUCCACAUCUUCACCAUCCCCUUUUCCCUCCCAACUUAUUUUUAUAAAAAUCUUCUAAUAAAAAGAAAAGCGAGAAGAAUGUAUUUAACAAAAAAGUCCAAGUCCAACGGAUUUAUUAAUGUCAUGCAUAUCAUGAACAUGUUCCUCACUAAAUCAUUUGCAAGUGUGUGGCCAAUAUCCUGAUGCUUGCCCCAAGUCCAAAGCACACAAGUCCUUAAAACAGAGCACUUAAAACAGGUGCCCAACCACAGUAUCAUCCAUACCUAAGGUGAAUGACAAUAAAACUGAGUGUCACUGGUCUUUUCUCCUAUCACUAUGUGACCAAUAAAAAGGCGAUAGGGAAAAAUGUUUUGAGUUUGGUCUUUAGUGAUCUGGCAUUGAAUAAUCUGUGCUUCUCUGAAAAUGUCAUCGUCAGUCCUUCUGCUUCCUUUGAGGGCAUCUGCCACUUGGAUGAGGAGGGAGACUAUAUUUUUUUCAACACUUUUAAAAUUGGAAUUCAUUCACUUACUAUAGUAAAUAUGGACAUGCUUGUGGUAUGUUGGGGAGAUUAAGGCUGACAGUUACAGGUCAGUAGUUUCAGUCUCUGUGAAUUUGAAUUCUAGAUUUCCUCCUGGAAGUCCAGUUAAAUUUAGAACUAAUCAGCAAUGCACAGAAGCAGCCUCUAACAAAGGAACUUAACAGUUUAUUGGACAUGAAAGCAUAGACAGGUUCAGAAUUCAACAGUGAGCAGAUAGGGCUUGAGCCUCCAUUUCCAGAGCAUGCAGCGGCCAAGGAAGCAAUUGCAUUGGUGAGCUGGUGAUAGAUGGUGGUUUUCUUUUUCCAUUUAUGAGAUAGAUGACUCUUUUUGCUGACCAAAGAGAAAUGCAACUUUAAAACUCUUGAAAAAAUAAUGUGUAAGCUUUGCUUCGUAUUUGUCUCCUCCACGCCAACUUCAGUCUCCAGAUUCCCUGUUGGAUUUGGUUUUCCAGUACACUCUAUAUCUAACUCCUCAGAUACACUUGAGUUGCCCGACAGAUUUACUAGGAACGAAGACAUUUCUGAUUAUUUUGACAACACUGGCUAUUACUACCUUGUCUCUGACAAGCAAGUCAUGCCUUUUAACCUUUAGGUUUGGAACUGUGUUUGGUCUUUCCUAGUACUUAUAGGUAGAAGGAAAAGUUACAUAAUAUUUUAGGAAAUAUCCAAAUAAACAGGAAGUAGUCAAUGAUCAUAUUGUGCUAACAGCAGAGGAAUCAUUAGUUUUUGCUGUCCAGGAAAGAUCAAGAAGUAUUACAGUAGAAAAUAUUGGUCUUAGCUAAAAACUGCUGUAGCCUGUCAAUUUUAGGGAGUAAUGACUGAAUUUUUAGUAUAUUUACUCUUCUGAUGUAGAGCUCUCUACUAUGAAAUGAGGCUAGAGGUUGAAUCAUGUCCCCCAGAAUGGUUGGAAUUCUAACCUCCAGAACCUCAGAAUGUGACCUUGUUUAGAGAAAGGGCCUUCACAGAGAUAAUCAGGUGAAAGUAGAGGAUUAGGGUGGACCAUAAUUCAACAUGACUGACUCUUUAUGGAAAAAGAAAACAGCGUGUGUGUUUUUGUGUGUGUGUAUGGAGAUAAAGACAAAACUCAGGAUGGUAUUGGUGAUUGCCAACUAACCAGAAGCUGGGUGUUAUGCCCCCCAAAAUCUCAUGUGUGAGUCAGUGCAAGAAGGUUCAGAGGAUAAAUGAUAGGGUUGUAGGAGUCUUAAGCCAAUCAGUGAAUUAAUCACCUGAUAGGGAUUAACUGAGUGGUAAUGAAGUGAUGGGGUGUGGCUGGAGGAGGUGGGAAUUGGGGCUUGGCUUUGGGGUAUAUAUUUGUAUCUGGUGAGUGGAGUCUCUCUGUGCUUCUUGAUCACCAUGAUAUGAGCUGCUUCCCUCCCCCAUACUCUUCUGCCAUGAUGCUCAGCCUCAUCUCCAGCCUUGAGAAAUGGAGCCAGCCUUCUAUGGACUAAGACCUCUGAAACUGUGAGCCCUCAAAUAAAUUUGUCCUCCUCUGUAGUCGUUCUGCUCAGAUCCUUUAGUCACAGUAGCUAAGAAGCAGACUGAAACACUAGUGGAGAGGCAUUGGGCAGGUUCUCCCUCACAGCCUCCUAGGAGCCAAUUCUGCUGACAUCUUGAUCUUUGACUUCCAGCCUUCAGAACUGCAACAUGAUGACCCACUGUUGUUAAGUCACAGUUCACAGUUCGUUGUCAUGGUAGCCCUAGCAGGCUAAAGCCAAGACCAGCUUCUUAAGCUGAUGUAUGUGGAUGUAAGGUGUGAUGUUUCCUCGGAGGCUGGGUCACAACUCGUGUUACUACCAAAUCUUCUCUAGGGGGCAAAUAGCUCUGUGUAUUUACUUAGAGAGCUUUCCCCCUGGGUUCCUGGGAGUAAAAUUGACUGACAUGUUAUUUCUAAGGGAAUCACGUGGAUGUUAAUGUACACUGGGGAUACCCACAUGCACAAGCGAAUGGUUACUGACUAUUGAAAUAUUAGUAGUGUUUACACUUCUGUCUCUUGGGUGUUGAAGUGGAAUGUGCUAAUCUGCUUCACUUUCCUCAUCUGGGAAACUUCCCUGCACCAUGGCCUUGUGCACACUCUGUCU